Molecule: signal recognition particle RNA, 299 nt
Filed under: Microcebus murinus (gray mouse lemur)
Lineage: Eukaryota; Metazoa; Chordata; Mammalia; Primates; Cheirogaleidae
Description: Metazoan signal recognition particle RNA (ENSMICG00000035815.2)
Rfam family: Metazoan signal recognition particle RNA
About the family: The signal recognition particle (SRP) is a universally conserved ribonucleoprotein. It is involved in the co-translational targeting of proteins to membranes. The eukaryotic SRP consists of a 300-nucleotide 7S RNA and six proteins: SRPs 72, 68, 54, 19, 14, and 9.
Source: RNAcentral
AGCCAGCCAUGAUGCGUAGGCCAGUAGUCCCAGCUACUCAGGAGAUUGAGGCAGAAGGAUCGCUUGAGCCCAGGAGUUCUGGGCUGUAGUGCACUAUGGCCAAUCCGGUGUCUGUACUAAGUUCAGCAUCAGUAUGGUGACCUCCCAAGAACAGGGACCACCAGGUUGUCUAAAGAGAGGUGGACCAGCCCAGGCAGAAAAUGAAGCAGGUCGAAACUCCCAUGCUGACCAGCAGUGGGAUGGUGCCUGUGAACAGCCAGUGCACUCCAGCUUGGGCAACAUAGUGAGACCCUGUUUCU